Molecule: ribosomal RNA, 468 nt
Filed under: uncultured bacterium
Lineage: Bacteria
Description: partial 16S ribosomal RNA
Rfam family: Bacterial small subunit ribosomal RNA
Source: RNAcentral
GACGAACGCUGGCGGCGUGCUUAACACAUGCAAGUCGAACGGAAAGGCCCUGCUUUUGUGGGGUGCUCGAGUGGCGAACGGGUGAGUAACACGUGAGUAACCUGCCCUUGACUUUGGGAUAACUUAAGGAAACUGGGGCUAAUAUCGGAUAGGAGCUCCUGCUGCAUGGUGGGGGUUGGAAAGUUUCGGCGGUUGGGGAUGGACUCGCGGCUUAUCAGCUUGUUGGUGGGGUAGUGGCUUACCAAGGCUUUGACGGGUAGCCGGCCUGAGAGGGUGACCGGCCUCAUUGGGACUGAGGUAGGGCCCAGACGCCUACGGGAGGCAGCAGUGGGGAAUAUUGCACAAUGGGCGGAAGCCUGAUGCAGCAACGCCGCGUGCGGGAUGACGGCCUUCGGGUUAUAAACCGCUUUCGCCUGUGACGAAGCGUGAGUGACGGUAAUGGGUAAAGAAGCACCGGCUAACUACGUG